CCUACGGGGAGCUGCAGUGAGGAAUAUUGGUCAAUGGGCGCAAGCCUGAACCAGCCAAGUCGCGUGAGGGAUGACGGUCCUAUGGAUUGUAAACCUCUUUUGUCGGGGAGCAAGGCCCGCCACGUGUGGCGGGAAGGAGAGUACCCGAAGAAAAAGCAUCGGCUAACUCCGUGCCAGCAGCCGCGGUAAUACGGAGGAUGCGAGCGUUAUCCGGAUUUAUUGGGUUUAAAGGGUGCGUAGGCGGAAGGUUAAGUCAGCGGUAAAAUGUCGGUGCUCAACACCGGCCUGCCGUUGAAACUGGUCUUCUUGAGUGAGCGAGAAGUAUGCGGAAUGCGUGGUGUAGCGGUGAAAUGCAUAGAUAUCACGCAGAACUCCGAUUGCGAAGGCAGCAUACCGGCGCUCAACUGACGCUGAGGCACGAAAGCGUGGGGAUCGAACAGGAUUAGAUACCCUUGUAGUC
This 460-nucleotide ribosomal RNA is filed under the name uncultured bacterium. RNAcentral's name for it is "partial 16S ribosomal RNA". It matches the Rfam family "Bacterial small subunit ribosomal RNA", at positions 338 to 795 of the family's 1533-position model. The record is from RNAcentral.